GUAUUUAAUCUCUACUCAUCUUAUUCUUUGGUAUUUAACUCCACAAGUUUCUUUUUGGUUCGAUUAAUUUGGUAACUUUUCCUUCUAAGUUUAUAUUGCUGUAAACAAAGGGCGUGGCUGGAGUAAAUCUUGGUUCUUCUGACAGCUCAUUUUCAGACACACUGCUCUCUCUCACGCUGUAGAUUCGGCUGUCAGAAUUGUACUCUGCACAAGAACUGCUGGGAUGUGUAUUUGAUCCACUGAAUUAUGCUGCACAGUGAUCAUUUGCCUGUCCAACUUGGCUCUGCACUUAACUAUUUUCAUGGAAAUUCCUCCUUAGCUAUUCUUAGCAUCCUCUUGAAGAUUUCACGGGUGAUACAGUGGAUUGAUGUGAAGCAAAUUCUGAGACCACGAUGUCUACCCGAAGGAGGGUUCUCCAAGAAACUUUUGGGCAAAUUUGAAAAGACAUCUGGGGAUGUUUGAAGUUUGCCUCCUGGGGAAAAAAAAACAUUCAGUGUUCCUGGUUUUCAGUAAU
RNAcentral lists this long non-coding RNA (514 nucleotides) under Felis catus (domestic cat). RNAcentral's name for it is "lncRNA (ENSFCAG00000040378.2)". The record is from RNAcentral. Lineage: Eukaryota; Metazoa; Chordata; Mammalia; Carnivora; Felidae.